UACGUAGGGUGCAAGCGUUGUCCGGAAUUAUUGGGCGUAAAGAGCUCGUAGGCGGUUUGUCGCGUCGGAUGUGAAAACCCAGGGCUCAACCCUGGGCCUGCAUUCGAUACGGGCAGACUAGAGUAUGGCAGGGGAGACUGGAAUUCCUGGUGUAGCGGUGAAAUGCGCAGAUAUCGGGAAGGAACACCGGUGGCGAAGGCGGUUCUCUGGGCCUUACCUGACGCUGAGGAGCGAAAGCGUGGGGAGCGAACAGG
This 254-nucleotide ribosomal RNA is filed under the name uncultured bacterium. RNAcentral describes it as "partial 16S ribosomal RNA". It matches the Rfam family "Bacterial small subunit ribosomal RNA", at positions 524 to 776 of the family's 1533-position model. The record is from RNAcentral.